AGGAUCUCGGCCCUCAAGGGGCCUUCUGGUGUUUCAGACUUUUCUCAGCUUGGUCAGACCUAGUCUUUCUCCCCAGAAUCUGAUUUUCCCUCGGGUGAACUCAGAAGAUAGUUUUUGCCCCUGCAAAGUGGAACAUUGGAACUUUGGUGACUUCAGCAAGGUUCAUUCUUACUGGAGCAAGUAUUUAUAACAUAUGGACAGUGAAUUAAAAGUUCAGAGAAGAGUAGCCUUCAGGAGCAAUGUAACCAUCAGCUCAAUAAUACCUUCAAGGGUUUUUCUCUCUGCCAUCCUCAGUGUGUUGACUUCAUUCUAAGGAAGAGAAGGAUAAAAAUGACUGCAAACUACUUCAUGGAGAGCUUUUUGUUUAAAGGCUGACGACAAAUACCAGAGUCACAAGGUCCAGCAAACCUCCCUCAGAAGCAGUUGAGCUUCUUGAGGACAGGGAACUUUUUUUCUUCUUUGAAUCAGCAGUAUCUUAUUUGUAUUUCUGUAAUACAGUUCCUGGCCUAGAAAAAGGUCUCAAAAAAUGCUGUACAUUUAUUAAUGUUAUUAGGCAGAUUGCAAUCUUGGCAGGCCUCUUAAAUCUCUUCUCUGUGAUCCUUUCCAUACUCGGCAUGGAAAAGGCCGCCGCUGUUUGCUCUGGGAUAAGUACCCAAGGCAUUUACUUAAAAAUACCCAAGACUAGAGAAAUAAUUCUCCUGUCUUUAGGGCACCAUUUCGACUUUCCACGGCACUGCGCCCCAGGGCUUGGGAUCUGGGUCUGGAGGCGACAGGGAAGAGUUCUCUACGGGAAGCUCAUCCUCCGGCGUGUGAUUGGUCGGCUCACACUCCACUCACGCGGCUCGGGCCUCUGAUUGGCCCCCGUAGCACCCCCCCACCCCCCCC
RNAcentral lists this long non-coding RNA (885 nucleotides) under Equus caballus (horse). Its description in RNAcentral is "lncRNA (ENSECAG00000060377.1)". Lineage: Eukaryota; Metazoa; Chordata; Mammalia; Perissodactyla; Equidae. The record is from RNAcentral.